CGGGGCGUAGCUCAGUUUGGCUAGAGCGCUGCGUUUGGGACGCAGAGGCCGGAGGUUCAAAUCCUCUCGCCCCGA
RNAcentral lists this transfer RNA (75 nucleotides) under Phycisphaerae bacterium. RNAcentral's name for it is "tRNA-Pro". It matches the Rfam family "tRNA". From Rfam's summary of the family: Transfer RNA (tRNA) molecules are approximately 80 nucleotides in length. Lineage: Bacteria; Pseudomonadati; Planctomycetota; Phycisphaerae. The record is from RNAcentral.